Mus caroli (Ryukyu mouse) is the source of this 782-nucleotide non-coding RNA. Lineage: Eukaryota; Metazoa; Chordata; Mammalia; Rodentia; Muridae. The record is from RefSeq and is a predicted model, not a curated record.
UGCCUGGGUGCCNCGGCCGCCGCGUGAGUCUGCUGCGCUCCACGAGGAAGAUGCUUGCCACUGUAUCCCGCGUGUNGGCAGGCACUGCGCAGAAGCCGGCAAGCCGGGUGCUGGUUGCUUCCCGUAAUUUUGCAAAUGAUGCUACAUUUGAGAUUAAGAAAUGUGACCUUCAUCGGCUAGAAGAGGGCCCUCCAGUCAGCACAGUGCUCACCAGAGAGGAUGGGCUCAAGUAUUACAGGAUGAUGCAGACUGUGCGCCAUAUGGAGCUAAAGGCGGAUCAGCUGUAUAAGCAGAAAAUCAUUCGUGGUUUCUGUCACUUGUGUGAUGGUCAGGAAGCCUGCUGCGUGGGCCUGGAGGCUGGCAUAAACCCCACGGACCACCUCAUCACCGCCUAUCGAGCACAUGGCUUCACCUUCACUCAGGGCCUGCCUGUGCGAGCAAUUCUUGCAGAGCUAACAGGANGAAGAGGAGGUUGUGCUAAAGGGAAAGGCAGGUCAAUGCACAUGUACGUCAAGAACUUCUAUGGAGGCAACGGCAUCGUUGGAGCUCAGGUNCCCCUGGGAGCAGGAAUUGCUCUGGCCUGCAAGUACAAUGGAAAAGAUGAGGUCUGUUUGACAUUAUACGGCGAUGGUGCUGCUAAUCAGGGUCAGAUCUUUGAAGCUUACAAUAUGGCAGCACUGUGGAAAUUACCUUGCAUUUUUAUCUGUGAGAACAACCGCUAUGGCAUGGGGAUGUCUGUUGAGAGAGCAGCAAAGAGUUCAGAAAACCAAACUUUCAAAUAA